This 420-nucleotide ribosomal RNA is filed under the name bacterium. Its description in RNAcentral is "partial 16S ribosomal RNA". It matches the Rfam family "Bacterial small subunit ribosomal RNA", at positions 355 to 776 of the family's 1533-position model. The record is from RNAcentral.
UGGGGGAUAUUGCACAAUGGGCGAAAGCCUGAUGCAGCGACGCCGCGUGGGGGAUGAAGGCUUUCGGGUUGUAAACCUCUUUCGCUAUCGAACAAGGCCCGCUUAGGGUGGGUUGAGGGUAGGUGGAGAAGAAGCGCCGGCUAACUACGUGCCAGCAGCCGCGGUAAUACGUAGGGCGCGAGCGUUGUCCGGAAUUAUUGGGCGUAAAGGGCUUGUAGGCGGCUUGUUGCGCCUGCUGUGAAAACGCGGGGCUUAACUUCGCGCGUGCAGUGGGUACGGGCAGGCUUGAGUGUGGGAGGGGUGACUGGAAUUCCAGGGGUAGCGGGGGAAUGCGGAGAUAUCUGGAGGAACACCGAUGGCGAAGGCAGGUCAAUGGGACAGUACUGACGCUGAGGAGCGAAAGCAUGGGUAGCGAACAGG